CUUGGCAGCUGCCCUUUUGAAAACCACAAAUAGGAGAAGGAAUGACCUGCAGGGCACAACGUUUUUUAUAUUGUUUUUUAAAUGAGAAAACUGAUUUCUCUAAACCCACAAACUAAAAAGUGAUUGUAAAAAUAACGAAAUGCAGAUCAUUCCAGACAAUUCUAGCAUUCUAGACACUACUAGUAUUGAAAUUUACCAGUAAAAGAAAUGAGGUUAUGAAUUAUUUGGGGGUUAAGACGGACAGCUGGGUAGUUUAUACACAUUCAACACCCUUACUGAGACCAUCUAAUGCCUCUGUUUAAACUUGUUGAAAGGCCGGUGACUCAAAACUUGCAUUCACCACUUUGGGAAAACCGCUACAAUUCUACAUGAAAGAGCAACAUUUUCACAGGAUGUUGAGAAUGACCUUGGGCUGUGCUGCCAAAGCACAGCAGGAAGGAGACGCCUGAUUGAAGGUCAAACUCAGUCUUUUUUAAAAAACUGCUCUUCCUGAGUGAACCUAGAGGUUCCUUUAGGUCAAAAUAGGCUAACCAGUAGGUUUUGGGGCUGAGAAUGGUUUUUAAGUCUUACUAAUCUUCUCUGGAAUGAAACCAGAAAUUUGGGAACCGGAAAGAACGUCUGUGAAAACAGCAGCACGGGGUCCAGGCAACGGCCCCCACUUUCCUGAGUUCUGAACCCGGCUCUGUGGCUUCUCAGGUGAGGAAACGCAGGAAAGAGACCUGCCUGUGGUCCCACCAUCACGUCGCGACAGAGCCGCAGCUGGAAUUCAGGUGUGGUCCUCUUCCCGCUUCUCCACAACUUCCACUUUGGACUUUAAACUUAAUUCCCAGGAUCCUAGGGCCCUUUUUUGUUAUAGACCCCAAAGGCAACUGAAUACAAACACCUAUAAGGCCAGAAAAUACCUCCCUCAUUUUAAUUAUUAAAAACAUUAUGAAAUUGACUAAAUUGUGAUAGAUAUGCAUCCUAAGAGACCAGUAAUUUGCACGAGUUCAUCGUUUUUCUUUAAAUCUUAACAUGAUCUGGAAGGCUUCAGAAGUGCCCUAAUUCUGAUCUUUCUCCGCGUUUUCUUUCGGUUUGUCUCCCUCUGGUGGAUUUAAAAAAAAAUACUUGUUUUUAUUUUCAGAGUAACUAUAGAUUAUUGGGGACAGGUUUUGCUCAAGGUCAGAGUUCAUCUGUUGUCAGCCUGGUUCAUGUUGUGGAACUCCUAGAAAACCAUCUUUCCUGGGUGGGAGUCUUUGCAGAGGCUCGACUUCAGGGAGGGUAGAAACAGGCCCAGCACGUCUGCUCCUUCAUACCUCCGUGAGCGCCAAGAAGCACAUGCGCAGACACAAAGGUGCAUUCAGAGAAUAAGUGGUUUGAAAUGAUUCAGCAUAAAGUGCAAGAGAUUAGCGGUGAAAGGCUGUGGUAAGAGAUGGAGUGGAAGGGUAAGCAGGGACCAAAUCACAGGGCCUUUUAAGUUAUGUUUGAAUCUUAUUUUGUAGGUAAUGGGGAUUGUAUUAGUUAGGAUUAGGCUGCAAAAACAGAAAACCUAUAUAAGUGGCUUUUAAAACAAAAAGUUUACUUCUGUCUGUGUAAAAGAAGUCAGGAAGUAGGCAGUCCAGGGUUUGAUAUGGAGCUCCCUGUCAUCAGUGAUCCAGGGUCCUUCCAGUCACGACUCCAUCUCUAGAGUGUAGCCUUUGUCCUCAUGGUCCAAAAUAGCUGCCAGAGCUCCAGCCAUCAUAUGCAUUUAUGCAAUUGGAUAGCUGCAUUGGCAAUUCAAUCUCAAUUUCCCAGAAAACAAACUGACUGAUUUCUACUCUCAAACCAGCUCUUGCCUUUUGUUCUCUAGCUCCCCAUUUUACUAUAGGAAAGAGCAAUGAAAUGAGACUCAGGAAGUAUGGGAGACUCUGGAGCUGAGGACAGAGAGUGAGUUCAGAAAACAUACAAGAGAGAUUUAAAAAGGAGUGGGGACCAGGCAUGCUAAAUGCUGCACAGAGGUCAAGCCACACAAGAUCUGAAGGUCGGCGUUUACAGAGCUGGCAGUAAGGUUAUCCGUGACCUUGGCAAGGGGGCGUCUACACUUUUUUUGUAGUGCAGAGCCCGAUUCAAUGUUGAAGCUCAGGGACGACAACUGCACCGUUCUUGCCUCUCACUGUCGUGUUGAUGAGCGCCCUGUGCUUGUCCCAGCCGUGGCUGGGACUUACCACUUCCCUUGAGGUUAGCCUCCAGUGAGAAAGAGCUGAAGUCGUCGGAGCUGCGUUUGUGGAAAAAAGCCUGGGUUCUCUGACCCUGUUCGCACCUCAGUUCUGCUCCUCUAGCUCCACUCUGUGUUUCCUGGACAACUGCUUCUCUGGACCUUAAUGGCCCCUGCUCCCUCCUUAGUUUUAACGGCCAUCUUGACUUCUUAGCAUCUUCUUUAGGACACAGUCUGGUGUUCUCCCGGCUUCUACCACUUACAGCUGCCCAGGCCCACAGCCCCGACGGAUG
This 2466-nucleotide long non-coding RNA is filed under the name Equus caballus (horse). Its description in RNAcentral is "lncRNA (ENSECAG00000058724.1)". Lineage: Eukaryota; Metazoa; Chordata; Mammalia; Perissodactyla; Equidae. The record is from RNAcentral.